RNAcentral lists this long non-coding RNA (935 nucleotides) under Equus caballus (horse). RNAcentral describes it as "lncRNA (ENSECAG00000048787.1)". The record is from RNAcentral. Lineage: Eukaryota; Metazoa; Chordata; Mammalia; Perissodactyla; Equidae.
CUUGUUUUGGCAAAGAUCCCUGGACAGUUCCUUUUGCUUCUGUCUCAUCCCGCCUGAUGGGCACGUGGGCUGUGCAUGCUAGGCGCUCAGUGGUAGCUCCCUCCCUCCCUCCAUGGAGACCAGCUCCUCUCAGGACCCAGCCAAAGCAGAUCUGCUUCCUUAUCAGCUCAAGACAUGACAAGUAAAGACCGAGAAGAUCUUCUAGAUGUCAGGGCAGACUGGAUUUGAGGCACAGGACGAGGACUAUGGGUUUGCCUGUUUAUCAUUCCUGGAGGCCGGAGACCAGGUUGGUGAAGCAUGGCCACCCCGCCCCCCACUGCACCCCAUCACCACCACCACACACAUGUUCACACCCUUACACUCUUGUCUCUUUCAGGGGCCAACUGUGUCCAGAAACCUUGUUUUCUUGUCUCAGAGGCACUGGAGCCUGAGGUGGCUGCAGCAGUGGCAGCUGAGGUUGGGAAGUUUAAAGACCAGAGCUAAGAAGGUAGUGACCAAGAAAGUCCCCUCCAGGACUGAGAUGUCUGGGGUGGAGCAGAGUCCAGUGGGAGUCUGAAGGCACAGACUGUGCUUGGAGAGCCACAUAUCUGAGCCUUUGCCAGAGAGGACUGGGGGACCCCAGGGCCACUCCAUUGCCCUUUCUGGGCCUCAGUGUCCUCACUGUGGACAAUUGGGACUCCUAUGCUGUGACUUGGGGUAGGGGGAGGCAGAGGUCAGCUCAGCAGAGAGAACCCCAUCACUGCUGCAGCUGUGUAGCAGUGCCUUGCAGGUGGUGAGUUCCCUGUCAUUGGGGCUAUGAAAGCAGAGGCUGAGGAGGACUCCUCGAGCAUGGCUGGGAUGGAGCAGCAGACCUCCUCCUGGAAGUUCUUGUUCUUAUUUGAACUCUAAUUGUUCCAGACAGCCUCUUCAAAAGCUGGGCAGUCCUUCCUGGGUCU